This 823-nucleotide long non-coding RNA is filed under the name Equus caballus (horse). RNAcentral describes it as "lncRNA (ENSECAG00000046543.1)". Lineage: Eukaryota; Metazoa; Chordata; Mammalia; Perissodactyla; Equidae. The record is from RNAcentral.
CUUAAUAAAUCAGUGGUUUGGAUCGUGGGGCUCCUGGUGGAAAAAAUUGUUACUUAUUUUCUGAAUCAUUAUCUUAAUCUGUGUUUUCUCCUGCAUGUGUCUAUAUUGUGGCUGUGGUAUCUGCCUCCUGUGCAACCAGAUAGUCACCAAAUGAGCCACCUCCAUGCCAGUGAAACCCUUCGCUGACCCCUCAGGCACAUUGUGUAAGACUGUAAGGGCUUGUCAUAAGGGGUGGAGCAUUGGAGGAGGUCAUAGAGAGGAUGUGACCUGGGGUUGACCCAUGAGCUGGACUCUGGCAAUCAGAGGCGCCUCACCCCUCCCCCUGUCCUUAGAAUGUCCAUUUUGUCCACCAUUCACAGCCGUUUUCAAGGAUGCAGCCUUGAGAGAGCAAAGUGUUGUGGAGACCAUCUGGAUGGAAUACGUGACUGAACCCAGUUAAGGCCUCUCUAUAAACUAAGAUGCUGCCGGGCGGGUGCGGAGGUCUUCUGGUCCUGUGGCAGCUAAGACCAAGCCUCGUCUGUUGCAACCAUGGAAAAUCAAACUCAAAAUGGCUUAUGUCAUAAAGGGAAUUUGUUGGCUGACAUAUCUGAAAAGAUCAGGAGGAGGAGAAGCUUCAGGAUGCACUGAAAAUGGCCCAUCCCCCUCUGGUGUUCUUCCCAAAUGUGGAUAAUCCCAAUCUAACCAUGAGAAGCCAUCAGACAAAUCCAAGUUAAGAGACAUUCUACAAAAACCUGGCCAGUACCAGUAUCCUUCAAGAGUGUCAAGGUCAUUAAAGACUGAAGAACAGUCACAGCCAUAUAAAACUGCUCUUUGUUAAUUGAAG